CCCUGGUUAGCUCAGUUGGUGGAGCGCUCCACCUGUAAUGGAGAGGUCCCGGUUCGAUACCCGGACCAGGCG
This 72-nucleotide transfer RNA is filed under the name Ixodes scapularis (black-legged tick). RNAcentral describes it as "tRNA-Thr for anticodon UGU". It matches the Rfam family "tRNA". Rfam says of the family: Transfer RNA (tRNA) molecules are approximately 80 nucleotides in length. Their secondary structure includes four short double-helical elements and three loops (D, anti-codon, and T loops). The record is from RNAcentral. Lineage: Eukaryota; Metazoa; Arthropoda; Arachnida; Ixodida; Ixodidae.